RNAcentral lists this ribosomal RNA (300 nucleotides) under uncultured eukaryote. RNAcentral describes it as "bacterial SSU rRNA". It matches the Rfam family "Eukaryotic small subunit ribosomal RNA", at positions 111 to 414 of the family's 1831-position model. The record is from RNAcentral.
UAUAGUUUACAUGAAAAUCAAUGGUUAUAUGGAUAACUGCACGAAUUGUGGAGCUAAUACAUGCGCAAAAAGCCGACUCUUGGGAAGGCUUGUAUUUAUUAGAUACAGAACCAAUCCCCUCGGGGUAUUUGGAUGAUUCAUAAUAAACGAAUGAAGCUCAUGGUUUGUACCGGGGCUGUUUCAUUCAAGUCUCUGACCUAUCAGCUUUCGACGGUAGGGUAUUGGCCUACCGUGGCUAUGACGGGUAACGGAGUAUUAGGGUACGAUUCCGGAGAGGGAGCCCGAGAAACGGCUACCACA